RNAcentral lists this ribosomal RNA (135 nucleotides) under Conocybe sp. RNAcentral describes it as "partial large subunit ribosomal RNA". It matches the Rfam family "Eukaryotic large subunit ribosomal RNA", at positions 99 to 229 of the family's 3401-position model. The record is from RNAcentral. Lineage: Eukaryota; Fungi; Basidiomycota; Agaricomycetes; Agaricales; Bolbitiaceae.
CGGGAAAAGCUCAAAUUUAAAAUCUGGUAGUCUUUGGCUGCCCGAGUUGUAAACUAGAGAAGUGUUAUCCGUAUUGGACCAUGUAAAAGUCUCCUGGAAUGGAGCAUCAUAGAGGGUGAGAAUCCCGUCUUGGAC